RNAcentral lists this unclassified non-coding RNA (17 nucleotides) under synthetic construct. The record is from RNAcentral.
UGCAUUUCGACCAGGCA